Long non-coding RNA from Helianthus annuus (common sunflower), 1163 nucleotides. RefSeq lists it as uncharacterized. The record is from RefSeq and is a predicted model, not a curated record. NCBI's taxonomy places the organism in Eukaryota, Viridiplantae, Streptophyta, Magnoliopsida, Asterales, Asteraceae. The transcript has 8 exons.
UAACAAAACUCCUUUUCUCUAUCGUCCCUCUCAAAACCCUAGCGCCGCAGACACAUCUUCUUAAAAAAAAUCGACAUCAAACACCGAUUUCACAUCUUCAAAUACGAUUUUUCUCAACUUCAAUUGUUCAUCAUCCAUUUAAGUUUUGCAGGAUCUAACCUUCAGUGAUCUCGGUGAUGAUUUUUAGGAGGUCGAUCAAAAAUGCCGUGGUGCCAGAUACGGAAUUUUUGAUACCGGUGAUCCUGGAGAUGAUUAUAAGGAGGUUUCUGUUGUAGCCAAUUGUGAAGGUGUAGAUGGACGAUGGGUGGCGUUUGGAUUUGAGUCAGACUUGCUUUAUUUCAUACUCACCACCAGAUUUCUACACAAAGGUGGAAUAUAGAUCCAUUUUGAGCUCCAGCAAGGAGACAGUUCUCUUAUGAGGUUAUGUUCACCGGUGAGAAAGAAGGCAUUGUCAUGGGUAAGACCUUUAAAAGACCAGCAAGAUUAGAUUAGACUCUUUUUAUCAUAGGCCUCUUAUGCACCAUAUAUGAUAGAAGCAGAAGCGUUUUCAUUAAAGAAGUUACAACGAGCCAUUUAUUGAUGCAUAAAUGGAAAACUAUUGACCGGCGUGCUUAGAUCAAAACAGAUUCACUUGGAAUUCAAUGAAGAAAAGAAAACAUUACAGGAAUUGAUGACUGUGUCCAGGUCCUCUUUGAGGUGGAAAAAUAGCACGGUUGGACGAGUUAGGAUGUGGUCAAAUGGGUUAACUACAUGCUUGAAUGGUAAAGCGGUUUGGGAUUGGCAAUGGAAGCGCAUGCCCACAUUGGAAAAUGAGAAGAUGGAAUCUCAUCAGCUUAUGAAUAUGUUAAUCCAACAGCAAAUAAAGGACAAAGAAGAUAGGUUUUUAUGGGAUGGAGGUGGAGGCACAACAGAGUUCUCAUAAGGUUUUGUCCAGUUGAUGCAAAAGUAUUCAUCUCCUUUGUUGAAUUGUCAGCAGUAACUUGGAAAUGAUGGGUUCAUGGAUGAGGGAAAUUGAGCAAAGAAAAGUUGCUAAGGUUGGAGACUAAUCAUCGAAAAAAAUCAUGUUAUCCAGUUAUUAGUUAUUUACCGUUAACAGUAAUAUAUCACUUUGUUUGUAUUUAUUUUAUUUAUAAACUUAUAAUUAAUGUAAAUCAAAUUUUCCU